RNAcentral lists this long non-coding RNA (533 nucleotides) under Homo sapiens (human). RNAcentral's name for it is "novel transcript, intronic to YY1". Lineage: Eukaryota; Metazoa; Chordata; Mammalia; Primates; Hominidae. The record is from RNAcentral.
UCCUUCUUGGCCCUGCCGAAAACAAGGUGGGCAGUUCCUGCCACCUGGAGCUCGUUUCCCCACCUGUCAAAUGGGCGUUAAGAAUUCCAUUGUGGUUUGAUACAUGGAGGUUCUCACUGUGUUGCCCAGGCUGGAGUGCAGUAGCAUGAUGAUAGCUCACUACAGCCUCAAGCAAUCCUCCUGCCACACCUCCCGAGUAGCUGGAACUACAGGUGUGUGCCACCAUGCCUGGCUAAUUUUUUUAUUUUAUUUUAUUUUAUUUUUUGUAGAGAUGGAGUCUCACUAUGUUGCCCAGGCUGGCCUCAAACUCCUGGCCUCAAGUGAUCCUCCUGCCUCGGUCUCUCAAAUUGUUGGGAUGACAGGUAUGAGCCACUGCACAUGGCCCAAGAGUUUUUGUUUGUUAGUUUUGUUUUUUGAGAUGGAUUUUCACUCAUCUCCCAGGUUGCAGUGAGCUGAGAUCACGUCAUCGCACUCCAGCCUGGGCAACAAGAGGGAAACUCCUUCCCCGCCUCCCCCACCAAAAAAAAAGAGAA